GAGAUUUAAGUGAGAAUCUUAAAGGCCGAAUAUCUAAGGUUUCCAGGGUAAAGCUGAUCUUCCCUGGGUAAGUCGGGGCCUAAGGCGAGGGCGAGAGCCGUAGUCGAUGGAUAACAGGUUGAAAUUCCUGUACUGCUUAUGGACAGAACUGUGGGGACGCAGAAGGAGAGCACGAGCCGGAAAUGGAAAAGCCGGUACAAGCGUAUAGCAGUCAUGCAGGCAAAACCGCAUGAAAAAUGUAAAGCGUUAUGUGGAUCGAACAUUAGUAGAGAAGCGUGUGAGCCAGCUGCCAAGAAAAGCCGCUAUUGUUUCAUAAGUACCCGUACCGUAAACCGACACAGGUGGAUGAGGAGAGAAUCCUAAGGCCGGCGGGAGAAGUGUUGUUAAGGAACUCGGCAAAAUGACUCCGUAACUUCGGGAGAAGGAGUGCCACAGAGAUGUGGCCGCAGAGAAAUGGCCCAAGCAACUGUUUAGCAAAAACACAGGUCUAUGCAAAACCGAAAGGUGAGGUAUAUGGGCUGACGCCUGCCCGGUGCUGGAAGGUUAAGAGGAGAGGUUAGAGCAAUCGAAGCUUUGAAUUUAAGCCCCAGUAAACGGCGGCCGUAACAAUAACGGUCCUAAGGUAGCGAAAUUCCUUGUCGGGUAAGUUCCGACCCGCACGAAAGGCGUAAUGAUUUGGGCACUGUCUCAACAACACACCCGGUGAAAUUGAAAUACCAGUGAAGAUGCUGGUUACCUGCGCCAGGACGGAAAGACCCCAUGGAGCUUUACUCCGGUUUGAUACUGGGAUUCGGUACUGUCUGUACAGGAUAGGUGGGAGGCUAGGAAAUGGUGACGCCAGUUGCCAUGGAGCCAACCUUGGGAUACCACCCUUACAGUACUGGGUUUCUAACCUGCAGCCGUAACCCGGCUGGGGGACAAUGUCUGACGGGGAGUUUGACUGGGGCGGUCGCCUCCGAAAGAGUAUCGGAGGCGCUCAAAGGUUCCCUCAGAACGGUUGGAAACCGUUCGAAGAGUGCAAAGGCAGAAGGGAGCUUGACUGCGACACCGACGGGUGGAGCAGAUACGAAAGUAGGACUUAGUGAUCCGGUGGUAUAAAGUGGGAUUGCCAUCGCUCAACGGAUAAAAGCUACCCUGGAUAACAGGCUUAUCACUCCCAAGAGUUCACAUCGACGGAGUGGUUUGGCACCUCGAUGUCGGCUCAUCGCAUCCUGGAGCUGUAGCAGGUUCCAAGGGUUGGGCUGUUCGCCCACUAAAGCGGUACGCGAGCUGGGUUCAGAACGUCGUGAGACAGUUCGGUCCCUAUCCGGCGUGGGCGUAGGAUAUUUGAGAGGAGCUGUCCUUAGUACGAGAGGACCGGGAUGGACAAACCUCUGGUGUAUCUGUUGUUUUACCAAAGGCAUGGCAGAGUAGCCAAGUUUGGCAGGGAUAAACGCUGAAGGCAUCUAAGCGUGAAGCCCCCCUCAAGAUAAGAUAUCCCAUCUUCGGAGUAAGACCCCUUGAAGACUACAAGGUUGAUAGGCUUCAGGUGUAAGUGUGGUAACGCACUCAGCUGAGAAGUACUAAUAGGUCGAGGACUUAUCU
This 1584-nucleotide ribosomal RNA is filed under the name metagenome. RNAcentral's name for it is "bacterial LSU rRNA". It matches the Rfam family "Bacterial large subunit ribosomal RNA", at positions 1311 to 2925 of the family's 2925-position model. The record is from RNAcentral.